Molecule: long non-coding RNA, 883 nt
Organism: Zophobas morio
Lineage: Eukaryota; Metazoa; Arthropoda; Insecta; Coleoptera; Tenebrionidae
Exons: 3
Source: RefSeq, a predicted model, not a curated record
CAAUUGUGAUGCAGUAACUACAACGCGGCCUAAGUUUAUUAAAACCUCUGAAGUGAUCAUUAAAAGAAAAAAAAACUUGGAGGCGCUUAAGGCUCGGCGCAAACUGGAAAAUAUUAAUAGAGCUAAAAAAAAACAACCGAAAAAACGUUAUAAUUUUAUUCGUGCGGAGCAACUUGUUAAGAAAUACCGACUGAGGUAUAAAGAUGAACUUCGAUUAAGAAGGAAUCACCUCGCUCAGCUUAAAAAAAAAAGAUUAACUUUUAAAACAACUGGCACGGUGUGUGUCCAAUCUAAUCCUUUUGAAACGCACAAUUAUAAAAUGGAUUUAGAGAAUUGUGAAAAGUCUGGUAAAAUUAGCGUAACUGAUACUAAAAAAACUACUAUUUUACAAAGUGAGCGGAAAGUUAGCGACGUAAUUGUUGUCGUUAGGAUUAGAGCUAUGUAUUUCGCUUGCCAUAAAACUCGCAGUAUCAUAAAAAAACUAGGCUUGAGUCAAAUAUACUCUGCCGUCAUAAUACUGGAUAGCCGUCUGUCUCGUAAACUGCUUCAAAUAAUAGAUCCUUUUGUUACUUAUGGGAAACCAACUUCCAAGAUUUUUAGGGAACUUAUAUAUAAAAGAGGACGCUUUAAUUUUAAUGGUAAGACCUGCUCUUUUUUUAAUAAUAAGUUAGUUGAAGUUUGCCUUGGGAAGUUAGGAGUUUUAUGCGUUGAAGAUCUUAUCUAUGAGAUAGAGAAGUGCGGAAAGAACGUCAAAAAAAUUUUGAAAUAUCUUAUGCCUUUCAAACUUAGCAGCCCGCCCAAGCCGUUCCCUAAAAUUGCCGUUCCCUAUAGUUUAGGUGGCGACUACGGCGAUAGGGGCUCCGAGAUCACCGAACUUUUGGCA